GGAUCUUGAGCUGCCUCCUUAAAAUUGUUUGGUUCUUUCUGUUUUAUAAUGGCAGAAAUAAAAGAUGCAUGUGAAUGAUCAGAGAAAAUGCUAUUAUGGACAGAAAGUUGAUGUGAAGACUCAGUUGUAUUACAGACAUAAUCUGCCAGGUAACAGAUCAAAGAGUAAGCAUGAAGAUAAAGAAGAAGAAGAAGAAGAAGAGAUA
Tripterygium wilfordii is the source of this 205-nucleotide long non-coding RNA. RefSeq lists it as uncharacterized. Lineage: Eukaryota; Viridiplantae; Streptophyta; Magnoliopsida; Celastrales; Celastraceae. The transcript is spliced from 2 exons. The record is from RefSeq and is a predicted model, not a curated record.